This 445-nucleotide ribosomal RNA is filed under the name uncultured bacterium. Its description in RNAcentral is "partial 16S ribosomal RNA". It matches the Rfam family "Bacterial small subunit ribosomal RNA", at positions 354 to 796 of the family's 1533-position model. The record is from RNAcentral.
GUAAGGAAUAUUGGACAAUGGACGCAAGUCUGAUCCAGCCAUGCCGCGUGAAGGAUUAAGGUCCUCUGGAUUGUAAACUUCUUUUAUAAGGGACGAAAAAAGGCUUUUCUAAGUCGUCUGACGGUACCUUAUGAAUAAGCACCGGCUAACUCCGUGCCAGCAGUCGCGGUAAUACGGAGGGUGCAAGCGUUAUCCGGAUUCACUGGGUUUAAAGGGUGCGUAGGCGGGCAGGUAAGUCAGUGGUGAAAUCCUAGAGCUUAACUCUAGAACUGCCAUUGAUACUAUCUGUCUUGAAUAUUGUGGAGGUAAGCGGAAUAUGUCAUGUAGCGGUGAAAUGCUUAGAUAUGACAUAGAACACCUAUUGCGAAGGCAGCUUACUACGCAUAUAUUGACGCUGAGGCACGAAAGCGUGGGGAUCAAACAGGAUUAGAAACCCUGGUAGUCC